GAUGAACGCUGGCGGCGUGCCUAAUACAUGCAAGUCGAGCGGACAGAUGAGGAGCUUGCUCCUCUGACGUUAGCGGCGGACGGGUGAGUAACACGUGGAUAACCUACCUAUAAGACUGGGAUAACUUCGGGAAACCGGAGCUAAUACCGGAUAAUAUAUUGAACCGCAUGGUUCAAUAGUGAAAGACGGUUUUGCUGUCACUUAUAGAUGGAUCCGCGCCGCAUUAGCUAGUUGGUAAGGUAACGGCUUACCAAGGCAACGAUGCGUAGCCGACCUGAGAGGGUGAUCGGCCACACUGGAACUGAGACACGGUCCAGACUCCUACGGGAGGCAGCAGUAGGGAAUCUUCCGCAGUGGGCGAAAGCCUGACGGAGCAACGCCGCGUGAGUGAUGAAGGUCUUCGGAUCGUAAAACUCUGUUAUUAGGGAAGAACAAAUGUGUAAGUAACUAUGCACGUCUUGACGGUACCUAAUCAGAAAGCCACGGCUAACUACGUG
RNAcentral lists this ribosomal RNA (497 nucleotides) under uncultured bacterium. RNAcentral's name for it is "partial 16S ribosomal RNA". It matches the Rfam family "Bacterial small subunit ribosomal RNA", at positions 28 to 507 of the family's 1533-position model. The record is from RNAcentral.